AGCUUCAGUAGCGUAUAUUAAAGUUGUUGCAGUUAAAAAGCUCGUAGUCGCAUUUCUGGCGAGAGGAUCCGGUCCGACCUUUUGGUGGGUUCUUGGGUCUCUUUCGCCAUCCUUGAGUGGUCCGUUCUGGCAUUAGGUUGUCGGAGCGUCAGCCGCUCAUCGUUUACUGUGAGAAAAUUAGAGUGUUCAAAGCAGGCUUAUGCCGUUGAAUAUAUUAGCAUGGAAUAAUAAGAUAGGACCUCGGUACUAUUUUGUUUGUUUGCGCACCAAGGUAAUGAUGAACAGGGACAGUUGGGGGUAUUUGUAUUUCGUUGUCAGAGGUGAAAUUCUUAGAUUUUCGAAAGACAAACUACUGCGAAAGCAUUUACCAAGGAUGUUUUCA
RNAcentral lists this ribosomal RNA (382 nucleotides) under uncultured marine Chaetocerotaceae. RNAcentral's name for it is "SSU rRNA". It matches the Rfam family "Eukaryotic small subunit ribosomal RNA", at positions 587 to 972 of the family's 1831-position model. The record is from RNAcentral. Lineage: Eukaryota; Bacillariophyta; Thalassiosirophyceae; Chaetocerotales; Chaetocerotaceae.